This 991-nucleotide ribosomal RNA is filed under the name uncultured bacterium. RNAcentral describes it as "bacterial SSU rRNA". It matches the Rfam family "Bacterial small subunit ribosomal RNA", at positions 358 to 1376 of the family's 1533-position model. The record is from RNAcentral.
GGAAUUUUGCGCAAUGGGGGCAACCCUGACGCAGCAACGCCGCGUGCGGGACGAAGGCCUUCGGGUUGUAAACCGCUUUCAGCAGGGAAGACAUAGACGGUACCUGCAGAAGAAGCUCCGGCUAACUACGUGCCAGCAGCCGCGGUAAUACGUAGGGGGCGAGCGUUAUCCGGAUUCAUUGGGCGUAAAGCGCGCGUAGACGGCCGCCUAAGCGGAACCUCUAAUCCCGGGGCUCAACCUCGGGCCGGGUUCCGGACUGGGCGGCUCGAGUGCGGUAGAGGCAGGCGGAAUUCCCGGUGUAGCGGUGGAAUGCGCAGAUAUCGGGAAGAACACCGAUGGCGAAGGCAGCCUGCUGGGCCGCCACUGACGCUGAGGCGCGAAAGCUGGGGGAGCGAACAGGAUUAGAUACCCUGGUAGUCCCAGCCGUAAACGAUGGGCGCUAGGUGUGGGGGGACAGUCCCCCCGUGCCGCAGCCAACGCAUUAAGCGCCCCGCCUGGGGAGUACGGCCGCAAGGCUAAAACUCAAAGGAAUUGACGGGGGCCCGCACAAGCAGCGGAGCAUGUGGCUUAAUUCGAAGCAACGCGAAGAACCUUACCAGGGCUUGACAUGCGAGUGAAGCCGCGGAGACGCGGUGGCCGAGAGGAGCUCGCGCAGGUGGUGCAUGGCUGUCGUCAGCUCGUGUCGUGAGAUGUUGGGUUAAGUCCCGCAACGAGCGCAACCCCCGUCCCGUGUUGCCAGCAUUGAGUUGGGGACUCGCGGGAGACUGCCGGCGUCAAGCCGGAGGAAGGUGGGGACGACGUCAAGUCAUCAUGCCCCUUAUGCCCUGGGCUGCACACGUGCUACAAUGGCCGGUACAGAGGGUUGCCACCCCGCGAGGGGGAGCGGAUCCCUAAAAGCCAUCCCAGUUCGGAUUGCAGGCUGAAACCCGCCUGUAUGAAGUUGGAAUCGCUAGUAAUCGCGGAUCAGCAUGCCGCGGUGAAUACGUUCCCG